AAGGAUAGGGGGACACACGCCUCCUCUUAGAGUCUCCUUCGCCCAGUCCUGAGUCACUGGACUCCGGCCGCAGCGGGGUGAUCUCAGUCCACACGGAGGGGGAGCCCUGGUCCUCCGGGCCCCGUCCCUCUGAAGCUCCGGGACCGGGUUCCACGGGCAGAGUCCGCAUGGGGCGGAACCAGCUGCCUGGGCCCAUCUUGGGAGGGUACUGGGGGGCCACAGGCCAGCCAGCUCCAGGCGUCAGGACCUCUUGGCCUCGGUAGUAGGACACGGUGGGUCCAGGGGCGGAGGGCAGGAAUGCAGGCUUCAUGCUGACCGCUCGAAACUCGGCCUCAUAGCUGUGGUCCCGGGGGGGCCCCAGCCAGUAAGGCUGGGAAACCACAUCCUUGGCUUGCCCGGGAAGGUCGGAGUAGAAGCGACUGGGAACGGGAUACUGGUUGGGUAGGAGAGGAGAGUAGUGGUCUCCCCCAAGCAACUGACAGUUGGGUCCAGGCGGGGAGGGGACGCUGCUGUCAACAGAUGCAUACAUGCUAAAAAAAAAAAAAAAAAAAAAAAAGGAGGCAAGAAAAGCGGUCACAAACAGAACCACUGACCUGUAAGCCUGCCUACUGCACGUCCCUCCCUGGACCCUCUUGCCCUGCCGGCCCUCCAGCAUCCACCCCACCCCUGCCCACCCCCAGGGAAGGAGACGUGCUCAGCACCAGUCUGGAGCCGAGUCCCAGGAGGAACCAAGAGGAGGCCCUCUGCAAAGAUGUCCGUUGUGACCAAGGUAUUAGCACAAGCAAGGCUUCUCAAGGCUCUGUUCAACUUAGACUCCGCGUCCAUUUCCUGAGGCCGCGGGCACCAACCCUAUGUCCAGCAUGGCACACAAGUGAUGGCGGCCUCGGGUUUGAUGAAGAAACCCCCAGGGCCACCUUGGCCCAUGUCAUCCUGAAUGCAACCCCGUGUCUGCCCCUGAGACUCAGCUUCCUCCCACCUCAUCUUCCCCGCACGGUGCAUGGAAAAGAACCAGAGUCAGAGAGGAAGAAAAGGGACUUUCACAGAACAGAAUCAGCCAGGAGGGGUGUGGGGUGGCGAGGAAUCCCACCUGGGUCACAUUGUUAGAGGCCCCUUUGUUGUUCGUGAGCUUUAGUUUCCCGAACGAAACUUCCUGGCGCAUCCAAUGGGCUCCAGUAUUGGGGGAAUCUGGGUGGACGUACAGGCGGUUUCCUGUGGACAGUUAACCUCUUUGGCAUGCAGCCCCCGGGGGACCAGAGCCCUGGUGAGAUGGGGCUUCUUUGCCUGUUCGGAGGGGGAUGUCAAAAAGGCUGCAGGGGCAGGACUAGAUGGGUGAGGGCAAGGGGAGGUGGGCACAGAGGACUGAGCAGAAGACAGGCUAAGGCAGAAGAGAGAAGAGAGGACAAACAGAACGGGGUGAGAAGUGGGAGGGGACAAGGGUGGGAUGGGGAGUUAAGGCUUAGGUGUAGCGGGCAGUGGCUCGCGGGUUCCUCCUGGGUCCACCAGGGGGCGCUCAGUCUCGGCGAAAAAGAGCAUCCAGGGUUCUCCAGGGGGCUUCCUACCUGGCAUGUUGCCCUCAGCCUUGCCACACUGCACCCACUUGCCGCUCUGAUACCGCCAGUGGUGCUGGUCCACCAAGACCACGUCCACGAACAUCCGGUAAUGGCUGGUGGGCUCCAGCCCCGCCACAGUAAAUGACAAGAACGGGAACAUCCGCCUAGGGAGAACAGAAAGACCCACCAACAUCCAUCAGCCCCCCAACGUCGCAGACAGCCACCCCUGUGCCAAGGCUUUCAGCCAUGUGCUGGAGUCAGCUUCCACCCCUCAAGAGAGCCAAGCGGAAAUGCCAGCCAGUCGCUAAACAAUGCCAUAACUAAAACUGAAAUUAUAUCAACUUACAAUUAAAUACAUUAUCAGCCGAGGUGAUAAAUACGCAAAACUCAUCGCUUCUCAGUUCGUUUACUACAUGUUCCUGUUAUCUCUGCUCCUGAGGUUACUUUUUUUCUGUUUUCAAUUUUUUAAUGUUUAUUUAUUUUUGAGAGACAGAGAGCCGGCGGGGGAGGGGCAGAGAGAGCCGGCGACACAGAAUCCCAACGCACACUCCCGGGUUCCGAGCGGUCUGCGCAGAGCCCGACAUGGGGCUCGAACUCACCAGCCGUGAGAUCAUGACCUGAGCUGAAGCCAGACGCUUAGCUGACUGAACCACCCAGGCGCCCCAUCUUGAGGUUACUUACAUCUCUUGUUCCCACUUGGCGGAAAAUACUAGAUAACCGUGCUACGGCACGUCUCUUCCCAACUCUGCAUCCAGGGAUACCACAGGCGUAGCUUGAAAUCAGCCACCGUAGGGACAGUUACACCAUGGAAAUCAGCAAACAGUAUGAAUCAGGGCUUUUUCGCUGUUCUUCUUUCAGAGGGUCAGUUGAUGGACACGGUCUCGAAUCUUAGUUUGCUUCCUAGCCGGGAGCAAAGCCACAAGCCAGCCCCCCAGAGGCACUUCCCCAUAGGCCCUCAUGCCUCAGUCUCCCAAGCCCUCAUCCCGUCAGUCCCCGCCCCAUCCUCUCCACUGUGGUCCUCGCGGUGCCAUGAUGCUCCCAGCCCUGUGGCACCCAGGCUCCCCCUGCCCCCAGCCCCCUCCCGGGGCCAGAUGUCUGUGGAUGGCCUGCCCCAGGCCUCAGCCUUCAGAGAAGUAGCUAAAAUCCUAGGUGGAACUUCCCAGCCACCUGGAAGAGGACUCUGUUGAGCACAGUCCCCACUCUCAAAGGCCUGGCUCCCAGGAAAAGUGGAGGGAGUCGAGGUUGGGAUGCUGUAUUAUCCUCUAUUGCGCCAGAGCAAGAGAGCCGGAGAAGGAAGCACUUUCACACCACACCCAUCUUGCCACUUCCACCAUCACCGAUCCUGAUGGCUUGGCUUUUCUUUUCCAACCCAAGCAGGAAGAGCAGAUUUUGCAGGAUGGCAGAAUCUCACCCUCAUCAGAAUUACGUUUCAUUCCCACACCCCUCUCCCCUCCUCCUACAAGAAGUCAUGCAGGGUGGGAAGAAAGACACCAGUCCCUGAGUCAGGAGACCUGGGGGAGGGAGAGUGCCAGAGACCUAGGAACACUUUCGGGGGGCAUCCUAGUCCUUAGGCAUUCCCAGAACGACACCCUUAAGAACCUUGGGAAGGUCUCCCGACAUUCCUGUCUUCUCCGGGCUCUCCUAUGCUGAGGAAAAAAAAAAAAAAAAAAGAGGCUUACUGGCCCUAUGACCUUAGAUAAGUUAAUUCCCAAACCAAACCUCAGUUUCUUCACCUGUAAGUGGGGACAGUAACUCCUGUUCAUUUUUCCUCUGAGAGCUGUUAAGAAGUUUGAAAGAUGCGAAACUCAGCUCAUCCGGUCUCUCCUCCACCCCACCCUCUCCCAGGCCCCGAGCUAUCAAAGCCCUCAGGCCCUCAGGCCCUCAGGCUGAAGGACCCCAAGCAAGCGUCCAGAGUUCUGGAGCCCAGGGGCUCAGCAGGCCAGCUGACUUGAGAAAUCAAAGGUGACGGAUGAGGCCUUGAACAAUUAAGGUUGGGGUGAUAUUUUCAACUCGUCUCUACCACCGACUCCUUCUAUGACGCAGUCGGGUCGCACACAUUUUUUGUAUCAUAACCAGCUCCCCUUCAAACUUGUAGGAAUAAAGGGAGAGAAGGAACGUAUUCAUUGUGUCUCUACUUAGCAUCCUUUGAAAGGUAAUUUUAAAAAUUUCUGUUUUUUUAUUAGUUAUUUUUGAGAGAGGGAGAGCGUGAGCAGGGGAAGGGCAGAGAGAGAGGGAGGGACCCAGGGGAUCCGAAGCGAGCCCGACACAGACAGCCAAGAGCCCGAUGCAGGGCUCAAACUCACAAACCGUGAGAUCACGACCUGAGCCAAAGUUGGAUGCUUAAUCCACUGGGCCACCCAGGAGCCCCUGAAAUGUACAAUGUUACUUCCAAGUUUAUACUUGAAGCAGCCAAGGACUGGAGAGCCGUGUUGACGGAUCCUUGGUGGGAGAACAGUGUGGGGGGCUCCUGACUGCAGCAUACAUGCCCUGGGGGCCAUCUCUCUACCCUGCUUAGCUCUGGUAGAGGGAAAUGCAGGAGAAGCAGGAAGAGAAUGGGGGAAAGGGAGAAGAGAAGGGAGGUCUCAUUUCACCCUAAAAGUCUAGAAUCACCACCAGCUGGAAUCCCAAAAUAGCCCCUGAUUUACAUGACACUUUGCUGGGAAGGAACACGGUCUGAUGCCAAAGGAAGCCCUUCCAAAAGACCACUUACGGGGCGCCUGGGGGGGGUCUCAGUCGGUUAAGCGUCCGACUUCGGCUCAGGUCAAGAUCUCACGGUUCGUGGGUUCGAGCCCCACGUCAGGCUCUGUGCUGACAACUCAGAGCCUGGGGCCUGCUUCGCAUUCUGUGUCUCCCUCUCUCUCUGCCCCUGCCCCGCUCGCGCUCUGUCUCUCUCUCAAAAAUAAAGUAAACGUUAAAAAAAAAUAAAAAACCAAAAAGACCACUUACCAUCGUGCCCUCAGAGGACAGGGCCUGAGACUCUAAAUUCCUGAGCUAGGGCUCAGGACUAUCCCAUCUUGAAACGAUUCGCAGGGUCACCACACCCUCCACCCCAUCCUGAACGCCUCUGAUAUGUUCCAAUUCACCGUCAUUACGUACAGAUUAAAAGGAGGUGAUUUUUCGUCAGUCAUGUUGGCAAAGUGGUUCACAACUGAUAUCCAACGCUGCUGAGUCUGUGGGGAAAGGGGUCCUCUCACACACUACUGGUGCGGGUGUAGAUUAGUAUCACCUUUUAGGAGGAUAUCCCAGCACUACCUUGUACCUAUCGAAAUGCAAAAUGUGCUCAGGCAUCAAAGGAUCUCCCCUACCCCCCCCCCCAUCAACCUCAGAUCCAGCUUCAUGGAAAUUAGAUAGUCACUAGCAAACAGCCGAUGGAAAACAAAGCUGUUUUCACCUGCCCCAAGAGAAAUUAAGCCAGUGAGUCCAAAUUAAAGAGGCUUAGAAAAAAAAAAAAUUGUCUUAGGGGCACCUGAGUGGCUCAGUUGGUUAAGCAUUGGACUCUUGGUUUCAGCUCAGGUCAUGAUCUCACGGUUCGUGAGUUCGAACCCCGCGUCUGGCUCUAUGCCGACAGCUCAGAGCCUGGAGCCUGCUUCGGAUUCUGGGUCUCCCUCUCGCUCUGCCCCUCCCCUGCUCACGCUCUCUCUCUCUCUCUCUCUCUCUCUCUCUCUC
Molecule: long non-coding RNA, 5216 nt
Organism: Acinonyx jubatus (cheetah)
Lineage: Eukaryota; Metazoa; Chordata; Mammalia; Carnivora; Felidae
Exons: 2
Source: RefSeq, a predicted model, not a curated record